AGCAUAGACCUUCCCGUGAUCAAAGAACCCAAAGUUCUGCUGGUCACACCAGUCUCGAAGCCACGAGUUUAUGUGAACAGCACACCUUUCAGCCUCCAUCCCCCCUAUCGGAAGGACAGAGGCAAACACAACCUGCGCCCCUGAACCUCUAAGUUGUCGCCCCAAAUCCCUAAAGUCUCUUUUGAUCGCCUUCGGACUUCUCUUUGCUACUUCAUCGCUACCAGCCUGAAAGACCAGUAGCGGGUAGUAGUCAGUGGGCCGUACCAGGCGCUUGACUUUCUUGGCAACGUUAAGUUACUUGUUUUAUUGUUGUGUAUAAAUUUUGUCCCACUAAUGUCUGACUCACGCUCUUAUGCAAUGUGUCAGCUCCCUGAUGUGUUUUAUUGUGUUCUGUAAGAAGUAUGGGCCAUAUCUAAUUAGAGGGUAUUAUUACACAGUUAUCUUUUAAAUAUACUCAUCUAUCUGGUUUCAUUUUACCUUUCAAAUCUUCAAUUAAUUUUAAGUCUUUUUUUGUAUAAUUUGGCUUUUUGGUUCAUAUAUAUAGUUUGGAUUUAACCUUCUGGUAUUAAAGACAAUGCCUUCACCUCAGUUAUUUCAGCUGCCCGUUUAGCCUCCUGAUCUGCCAAUCGAUUUCCAAUUUCAAAAUCAGCGUUUCCCUUUUGGUGUCCUCGACAAUGCAUGAUAGCUACCUUUUCUGAUUGUUUUACAGCCUCUAACAAUUUUAAAAUUUCUUCAGCAUGUUUUUUCUGUUUUCCCUGAGCAGUCAGCAAUCCACGUUCUUUCCAAAUCGCUCCAUGAGCAUGUACCAUGAUUUUCCUUCCUGCUGCCAGUUCCAGUGCUCAGGUAAGUGCAAUUACCUGUGCUUUCUGAGUGGACGUCCCAGGGAGUAAUGGUUUGGACUCGAUUACCUGUUGAGCAGUUGUAACACCAUAUCCUGCCUUACAUUGUCCUUGUUUUACAAAGCUGCUCCCAUCAGUAUACCAAGAUUUAUCAGCAUCUUCUAAAGGUUCUUCUUUAAGAUCGGGUUGAUUAGAAUACAGAGUCUCCAUUGUUUCUGUACAAUCAUGGGUUAUAGGUUCAUCCAGAGUUCCGCUAAGGAAAGAAGCUGGAUUUGCGACGUUAGUGACCACAAUUUCCACAUCAUCUUUUUCUACUAAUAUUGCUUGAUAUUUUAAAAAUCUCUGUGGUGAAAGCCAAUGGUUUCCUUUUUGUUCCAAAACUGUUGAGACCGUAUGGGAGACUAACACUGUCAUUUUCUGUCCCAUUGUAAACUUCCGAGCUUCUUGUAGAUUGAUAACAACAGCUGCAACAGCUCG
RNAcentral lists this long non-coding RNA (1316 nucleotides) under Anas platyrhynchos platyrhynchos (common mallard). RNAcentral describes it as "lncRNA (ENSAPLG00000028155.1)". Lineage: Eukaryota; Metazoa; Chordata; Aves; Anseriformes; Anatidae. The record is from RNAcentral.